Molecule: ribosomal RNA, 540 nt
Filed under: Triticum aestivum (bread wheat)
Lineage: Eukaryota; Viridiplantae; Streptophyta; Magnoliopsida; Poales; Poaceae
Description: partial small subunit ribosomal RNA
Source: RNAcentral
AUGAAUCCAAAAAUGAUUCCACGGCAACAUAUCGGUUCCGGUAGCUCACGGAUAUACCGGUGCAAAAGAAGAUGCCUGACGGUCCCGGUUACAGGUCUUGGCGUCUCUCCUGCUGACCCAAAACAACGCAAAACCAAAGAGCCUCUGGCCGGAAGCACACAAGUGGUCGGGCUGGAGGCAGCAAGCGCGGGCACAGGCCAUGGCAUUAGCAGGGGGCCAGCGGGAGGUGCGGCAGCAAGCAUAGCAGCAGUGCCAUGGUGGGCUCGCGGCAGCAGCGGAGGAUGGAGCAGGUCCGGCGAGGGCGGCGCUUGUCUGAUCUGGCAGCCGGGCUACAUACAGGCAGCAGCCAUGGCGUCGAGGCGACGAGGUGGCCGGGUGGCGGUGACAGGCGGCGCCGAGAAGAGCAUCUACAGCAGGGCGAUGGAGGUGGGGUGGCAUCGGGAGGACUUGGUUAACGAGUGGUCCAAAAUGUUUGGAUUUUUGGUGGAGCACCGGAAUAAGAUGAACAAAUAUAUGACAAGGUUGGAGUCCAAGACUUAA